This 603-nucleotide ribosomal RNA is filed under the name Apilactobacillus kunkeei. Its description in RNAcentral is "bacterial SSU rRNA". It matches the Rfam family "Bacterial small subunit ribosomal RNA", at positions 339 to 934 of the family's 1533-position model. The record is from RNAcentral. Lineage: Bacteria; Bacillati; Bacillota; Bacilli; Lactobacillales; Lactobacillaceae.
CUACGGGAGGCAGCAGUAGGGAAUCUUCCACAAUGGACGAAAGUCUGAUGGAGCAACGCCGCGUGAGUGAUGAAGGUUUUCGGAUCGUAAAACUCUGUUGUUAAAGAAGAACAAGUGUUAGAGUAACUGUUAACACUUUGACGGUAUUUAACCAGAAAGCCACGGCUAACUACGUGCCAGCAGCCGCGGUAAUACGUAGGUGGCAAGCGUUGUCCGGAUUUAUUGGGCGUAAAGCGAGCGCAGGCGGUUUUGUAAGUCUGCUGUGAAAGCCCUCAGCUCAACUGAGGAAGUGCAGUGGAAACUACAAAACUUGAGUACAGAAGAGGAAAGUGGAACUCCAUGUGUAGCGGUGAAAUGCGUAGAUAUAUGGAAGAACACCAGUGGCGAAGGCGGCUUUCUGGUCUGUUACUGACGCUGAGGCUCGAAAGCAUGGGUAGCGAACAGGAUUAGAUACCCUGGUAGUCCAUGCCGUAAACGAUGAAUACUAGGUGUUGGAGGGUUUCCGCCCUUCAGUGCCGCAGCUAACGCAUUAAGUUCCCGCCUGGGGAGUACGACCGCAAGGUUGAAACUCAAAGNAAUUGACGGGGGCCNGCNNAAGUGGUG